UGCAGCAUUGAAGGCAGUUGGUGAUCGAGUUGUUUAUGGGGUAGUUGAACCUACUGCUGCACAUGCCGAUUUAAUUGAAAAAUCAUUAGGUCCAAUAACAUCUUUGUCUAGCAAAAAUAAUGUUUCAGUUCACAAAACUCAAACUAGUGUAGAAAAACUCAGUGAAACACCUACAGAAGCACGUGCACAAUUCUAUGCACCUGAACAGAUUCCAUCAGCGUUUCUAUUUCAAUUUUCUGCUGUGCAGCCAGAAAAUAAUUCUAUUCUUAUGGAUGGAAGAUUUAUGGAUCGUGUAGAUGUUAUGGAAUUCGAGUAUGCAGUAUCUAACUUAGCACAAAUACUGGUUGUAAGUACGACCAAUAAUAAAGAAAACGUGGCAACAUUGAAUUGGUUAAGAAUAGUAGUGCUCGACAACAUGCUAAUGUGAACAACUUGGCGGAGGGGUUAACGGUCUGUUAAACACGAAGCUCCAACACUCCUAAUCAACAUUCUUCCAGUCCACAUGUGAAAAAAAUCAUUAAGGAAACUCAGGUUUCCAUGAUGUCGAACGCCACUCCUAUGGCCAAACAACCGUUGGUCACUUUGAAUACAUCGGCACAUGAGAUUCCUUUUCAAUCAUUGGAGUCAUUUGGUGAGUAUUGUAUUGAAUCCGAGCAGCUCCUACUAUCCAUAUGGAAUGAUUAUGAUAUAGUCAAAGAGGAUAUGAGGGAGGAGAGUAAUAUGCAAAUUUGCUGUGGGCUGAUCAAGUUGAGGAUGAAGAGGACGAUGAUGAAGUUGAUUUUGAAUAUGGUAAUGAAAAGGAAAUUGAAUGUGGCAGCCCAUUUUCAGUGGGAUCACCAACGGCACAAGCCCAUGAUAGGGCACUCUUACAUGCAUUGGACAGUCCAACACCACACAAAUUUGCACUUUCAACAGUCGCACAAUGGCUGCAAUCUUCAGGUAAGAACAACAACACAAAUAUUCAAUCUCAAGCCUCAAUUGAUAAACCUAACAUUAAAGAAGGAGUGGUCACCAGGCAACCCCCAAUGCGAGUUGCAAAGCAAAAGGGGGCAACCCCAAUCACAUCCACAAGGCCCAAUCGAUCUAAGAAGAAAUGAUGAAUUUUGAAGACAUUUUGAAGAGAUUGGAAGAAGAAGAAGCCAAAAACCUACAAAUUGAAGAGUGCACAUGCUUGAAAAAAGAGGGGCAACAAUCAAAUAUUUACCGUAUUUUAUUUUACCAUUUUAUAAGUAUAAUCAUAUGUAAUAUCAUGAUAGAGUAUGUUAUAAAUUCUGUGAUGAUCAUACAGUGCUUAGUUCGUUCUUCUUCAUAUUUGUUACAUUCUGGUUAGUAGUUGUGUUCUUUAAUGCCUCAUUAGGAACUAUGAGGUAAGGUUUAGCGUAGUAUGUGCUUGCUCAUGUCCUACGCCUUUGGAAUAUAUCCAUACGGCUAUGAGAUCAUUCACCCUCAUGAGGCUAUGCUAGCAGCCUAUGAGGCUACGUCAAAGGACAUUGGAGGCGCAGAUGGAUGAUUAUAUAGUAAAGUCAUAGUGGCAAGACUACUGCUGCUUUUGUCGCCCUUACUUGUACUCUUCCUUUGUGAUUUUUCUGUUUAAUAUUAAUAUAAAAACUACUAGGAAUCAUGCCUGGUGGUCUAUUUGCUAACAAAAAAAAUAUUGAAAAGGAAGGGCUUACCCUAUUUGUGCUUCAGACUGAAAUCUUCCAUCCUCUCCUAUGUACAAUUCCACCCUUUCUCUUACUUAAUCAAAUUAAAGAAUGCCAUAUACUCUCAUUGCCCUCCUCUUUCUCCUCAACUCCUUGCUAUGAGUGAUCAAUUUUGAAUGAUUGUACUGAAUAUCAACGUGGGGGCCCUUGUGGAUAAAUCAAAAUUUGGGGAUAUAAAUUAGAGAGUAGGAGUAAAGAAAAAGGGUUGGACAGUUGUAUCAAUUUGCUUAAAUUUCAUCCUACUGAGUGUGAAGGACUGGCCUGAGAACGUUUUGUUUGUGCAUGAUAGGUAGUUUUCUAUAAGCCCGUGUGUGGUUGAAUUUGCGACCGCAGAAACAUUUUGCGUAUCGCAAAAUAGUCACAGAGAAAGGCAGAUAAAAGGAUAUAUCUGAAGAACAACAUGCAACCGAUAUGCGGUCGCAUAAGUUGUUAUGCGGCCACUUCUGCAUACCACAUAAUUUGUUUUGCUUCUGAGGGUUGUAUUAUGUGAUAGGUUUUGCGGAUCGCAGAGUUGUUAUGCGAUCGCAUAACUGGUCGCAGAAACAUCUUUGUUUUUAAAUUCCUUAUAAUAUGUUACCCAUGCCUUAUCACUUACUCACUCUUUAUUAAUUGACAGGAAUGGAACCAAAGAAAGUUCGAGCAUCGCGACAACCCACCAAUCAAGGAAAGAGACAUGCUGCUGCUAUAAGCCCACAAUCACAACAAUCCCAAUGCAAGCGGCCUGACUCAUCCAGAACUUUAUCUGCGUAUUCCUCCCAGUAUGAAGAGGAGGAGGCACAACUUGCUCUUAUGCCACCAGUUGACCUCCAUGCCGAAGCAUGCCGAAAGAUGGGUGAGGAUCUCAGGUUUGGGAUCUCCGGCUCUUGGACUUUGUACCUAGAUGGCCUGACAAAGAGAAAGAUCCUCGAAGAAAAGAAGCUAGGCUUGAACGGGUUAAAAUAACACUACCCCCAUGUGCUAGAAAACAUCAAAACAAGAGGAUGGGAGUUCUUCACUCAUGUUCCGGGGGAGUACAAUGAGACACUCAUUAGGGAAUUCUAUGCUUCAUAUGCUGCAUCCAGGAACGCUGAACAGGAGAGAAACCAUAGGUUUUUGGCAUCCGUCUUAGUUUGAGGGGUUGAAAUAUUCUGUGAUGCCUCCUCAAUCACUGAUAUAUAUUAUGAAGCAUGGGAAACAGGCACUUCAGAAUUUAACGCAAGAUUGCAAAUAAGUAAUCCGAGCGUGCUUGGGUAGCCUCUUUCAUAUCCAAGGGAACUCCGUCCUUGAUCGCGCCGCGCCAGAAGAUUCACAUAGGGAUCUUACACAAGAAGGCUAGUAUUGGCUCAGUUUGGUUUGUUCUCAUAUAAUGCCCUCCAGCAAUGAAACUGACCUAAGUAUCGAGAAGGCGAUCCUCAUUGCAUGCAUCAUGUUGGGUAUCAAGGUUAAUGUGGGAGAGCUUAUAUUCCGUGAGUUUAGGAUCCGGGCGAACCAGAAAGAAACCUCGCUUCUUUUUCCAUGCUUAAUCCAUGCUUUGUGUGAAGCUAGGGAAGUUCCUCCUUUACCCAAACAUGACCGUAUAGAAACAGCUGUUCAUGACUCUGACAUUACACGGAUCAAUGAUGCAUUAGAUAAAGUGAUUGAAGGUCCAUUAGAACAUUCAAUCACUCCUCUCCCAGCCUCUGCAACAUCUGCUACCUCAUCAGUGCCCGACACUUCAUCCGCGCCAGCAACAUCCACAUCCACUCCAAGACCAGCCACUGCAACACCACUUGUCUUACUGCCUGCACUUUCAAAGCUUGGGCUACUGGCACAACAUGCAAAUGCCAAAGUGGAUAAAUUGACAAAAGAACUUUCAUCUCUCUUCCGGUAAGAACUGGCCCCGAUCCAAACCUCAGUAAGUGCUCUUCAACAACAACAUCUAUCAUAUGAUAAUCGACUAAAGCGCUUGGAAGUGCGCCUUGAAAGGGUUUGAGAUAGGCAGCGAUGGGGACAUACCUCAACUAAAAAAGAAUGUAUCUGAGCUCAAGUCAGAACUGCAUAAGAUGCAGACACGGGAGUUUGAUUUGACCUCCAUUCUGCCGGUGGAAGGAGAGUAGGGCAUUGGAACCUCCCACAUACCAAGCCAUGAGUUUGAUUUUACAAACAUCAUGUCAGCUGAGGUAGCCCAUGGUACUGCGAUCUCACAAGCUCCGAGCUCCGUUUCACACACCAACGAUCCAGAAGCUGAGGAAUCUGGAGAGUCUGAUGAAGGAACUGAUGAAGAGGAAACUGAUGAGGAGAGGAUACUUGAGGGGGGUGAUAGUAAGAUGGACAAGAGAGGCAAACAAGUUGUUGGUUCUAUAUAUGCACUGGCUAAAGAGGAGGAAGAUGUGAAAAUAACCAUUGCACAGUCCCUUGCAUAUAUAGUCGCCAAAGCUACUACCAUGACCAUACAACAAUCAUUGGGUGAGGCUAGCAGCUCACAGGUCCAAGACCCAGCAACACAACUAUCCAGUCAGAUGUUCCACCUACUGCAUCUAUAGUGUCAGCCCCAAGGCCGCCUCGGAUGUUCCAACCUCCCCAAGUGCCUAGUACGCCCCAGGAAUUCCCAAAAACUUUACUCUUACUUUCUCAAUGCAUUGGGGACAAUACAUGCUCUUUCGUUGAGGGUGGGGUAGUAAAUAUUUCACAACUUGUAUAUAAAAUUUUAAUCUUAAAAUUGUAGAUUUGUAUAUAACAAUGAAUUCUCCUUAGUUUUUCUUCGCUGGGUUCUUUUCCACGGGUGUAAUAGUAGAACCAUGGCCACAAAACAUCUUGGACUUGUUUAGUGAUUUUGUUCUAGCUUCAAGCAUAUGAUAUGUUUUUGUUGAAUAAAGUGCACCCUUCAAAUUUUGUAAAUAAAUGGUUAGUCAGUCUCGUGAAAUCGAGGCUCACUUUUUGACUUUGUGCCUACUUAGAAUCUCAAAUAUCAUGUGAAGAAGCUUUGAGUUGCCUUGUAUUCACUUGAGGGCUAAAAUUAUGCCGAGUCGAAUAGUUCAUGCGUUGUGAGUGAGUUAGAAGUUGUGUAAAUAUUGCACUGCUUAACUUGUAAUCUAUAGAACUUGCCCCGUUGGUUUCUCAAAGCAAUUCUCAGGUUGAUGAUUGGGCGUUGAAAUGAUCUUAGGCUCUCUUUAUGAUUGAUAACUAAUUUUUGACCAAAUAACCUCCUUGGUACAUCUAUUGUCCUAGUUACCCCCCCUGUUGAGCCUUUAACCUUUUAUUUGGCUACUACAUUAUAAACCUUUACCCCUUUGUGAAAUAAGUUCCCUUUGAACCCGUCCUUCCUUGAACGAGUAAGAAUAAGGCUAAAAGCCUAUGUUGGGGGUGUUGGUGUUAAUUGAAAAUUGGUAAAGUUGUACAUUGUGUGUAGAAUAAAAGACCUCAUAGUUGUGUAUAUGAAGAUAAUCAAAAAAAAAAGAAAAAAAAAUGUUGGUGUGGAGUCUUAUGAAAACUAAAGAAAUACGUUGAGGUAGUUCUAUGUCGGUAACUAGAGGUCAAUUAGGGCUAUGCGGUAAAAAGCAAAGUGUAUGUAGAGUUCAAGGAGGGUACAACCACUACAUUCCCAAAUAUUCGUCCAACCCGUCCCGAAGCCUACAUUACAAACCAUGAAAAGUCCUUGGUAAUCUACAACCAAUUAUUCCUAAGAUAACAAUGAUUUAAAAUAAGGGCAAGCAUAUGGACUGAUAUUUGUAGCGUUUAGGCUCCUUUCCGAGUGCAAGAGCGUUUGAUUGUAUCCCCUGUACAUAUUUGUUGAGUUGGGGAUUUUCUUUGAUGUGAGCACGCAUGAAUUGCAAGAAUUAGCAGAAAUUAAGCCUUUUGAGGUAGGAUACAAAUGCAUAUCUAGCUAUGAGUAGCACUCUGUCAUUUUUCUAGAGGCUCAAAAGUUCACUAAAUGAUUAGUCGAACUGUACUUGAUCUUUGUCCUUGAAGAAGGGUGAGAGUUGUGGUUACAUGCUUGUUAGCUAACGGUGAGCAUCAUCCAUAGUCAUUGCUACUUUGCAAUGCAUUUAGUCAGUUCAGUUGAUAUUAUGUUAUAUUUUUGUUUGUUUGUUUGUUUGUCUCUCUUCUAUUGUAGUUGUGUUUAUUUGUUUGUUGCUUGAGGGCAAGCAAAAGUCUAAGUUGGGGGUGUUGAUGUGCCGUAGAAUUGCGGCACUUUUGAUACUAAUUACAUAGACUCUAGCUCGUCUUUUGAAGCAUUUUAAGUUAUUUUGUUAUGUAGUUUUGAUGUUUUGUAGCAAACUAGGCUUGAAGAACCAAGAACAAGGAAAGGGGAACAAAAAAACCAUAGAAUGCCAGAAAUGUUGCAGGUCUGUGACCGCACAACUGAUGUGCGGGCCGCAUACCAACCGCAGAGUGAAGCAUAUUUUCUCAGUUAUGAGAGUGGAUUGUGUGAUCUAUUGUGCGGUCGCAUAAUGCUUAUGCGGACCAAAUAAUGACCAUACAAGUGCAAAGAGAGUUUUUGCGAGAACAAGUCUGCGACAUCAAAUGCGAUCGCGAAAUAAAUAUGCGGACCAUAUAACAGAAAUGCGAUGAACAAUUGGGCAACUUGACAUUCAAUUAUGCAAUGGAGUUGCAGUUAUGCAGGCCGCGAAAGUGUUCUGCGACCUAUUCUGCGAUCGCAGAUGUGAUCCGUAGGGGUAUAUUUGUCAUAUUUUGACCCCGACUUUUAGCCUAUUAUAUAUAGAAUAACUAGGGUUUUUGAGGGACAACUACUUUGAUAGAGAGAGGCUACGCUUAGGACAUUGAAUGCACCAUUAUUUUGGAAGCAUGGGAGAUAAAAUCCAAGACUUUGUCUAUAAUUGUAAGCUUCAUGACUUUAUUUAUUACAUUGCUGUUGUAUUCUAGUAUGAGUAGAUAAGUUUAAAUAUAAAGGUUGUGAAUCCUAUAUGGGUGUAAUGUUAAUGUGUGUUCAUCAUUGAAUGUUUAUAUAAUGGAAAGUUGAUUUCUAUUCAUUUCUCAUGCGUCAUUUGUAGUUGAUGGUUGCAAAUAUUGACUAGUGCCAAUUCAUUCUAUCUUUACUUGGGAAAGUGGGUUAGAAUUUGGUAGAUUUGAAUAGCAAGAACUCAAGGCUCUAAACCCUAUUUAAUAGAAUCUCUUAGGAAUAAGUGGAUUCUAUUUUGCAUAAAUUGGUCGUUCUUAAUUAUCACUUAUUUUAUAUUUGGGAAAAUCAUAAAGAGAAACUACUAUCUAAUUGUUGGAAAAUAUUAGUUAGUAACCUAGAAAUCAUUUGCAUAUCAACGAGCUUCCCAUUUAACAAUAUGAAAUAUGGAUACCGUUAGCAUUGCAUUCCAUUGAUGGAGACACAAUCUUGGUUUCUUAAUCAAUUUUAUCAAAUUAUAUCAAUGAAAUAUCUUGUAUUGAUAAAUCUCAAUUACAACACUCUCUUUUUAAGCUAACGGAGUAGGAUUACGACUUAAGUCAAGUUUUACACUACUCAAGUAACCUUUUCACACCUAUUCCCUGUGAGAUUCAAACCCAACCUAGUUGGGUUACUAUAUUUGACAUCGGUCGCUUUAUACUAUUUAUUUAGGUGUAAUUUGAGCGUAUCUGCAUCUAGUUGGAAAGUACGUGCUUGGGAAGAUUUAAUUGGUUACGUAAUCGUAGCGAUCGUGGUAGGGGUAUGAAAGGGUGUUCAUUUGAGGAUAGUUUACUGUCCUAGAGUCUAUGUGUUUGUAUGGGACUUCAAUUCAGUGAAAGGUACAUAUUUUCAUUCAAGGCACUUAAGGAAAUGGGCCCGACUAUCACGAGGAUGGACAUGCACUAAUUAGGUGAUUUGAGGCAUCUUACGAUAGGAGUUGUACGAGCUAUGAAGGUUGAUAUUGCGGAUCAUCAGAUGAUAUGUCCUAUGGCUUUGCGCCAAGUAGGGGAGUCUACUAUCGACGAUCGGAUUGCAUGGUCAUGUGAUAUAUCAGUCUUGGUCUGAGGUAUAUAUGUGGUAUUGAAUGGUUCCCCGAAAUUUGUAUAUGGUUAAGGACUGAUAUUUGCAUGGGAUAAUGUUGGGACUUGUUGUAUUUUUGUGUCAUUAAUAAUUCUACAUUUUAGUAUCAGAGAGGUUAUUGAAACAACUUCGGAUUCACAAAAAGGUUUCUUCAGAGUGGACAUCUCGGUUGCAACAUUAUAGGGUGCUUCAGAGGAAAUAAAGUGGCUUAUGGGAUUCUAGGCCACGUGGUUCGUGCUAGGAUCUUCUGCAUCGAGAUUUGAUUUUGGGAUCAUUAUGUACCGACAAGAAGAAGUGUUACCCUUAAGAAAGGUCAAGGAGGAUCCGAAGGAAUGGGUCAGUUCGGUGGUGUUGGGCCAGCAUAGCAAGAAAGGUAAUUUGUCCUUUUUGGGUGGUAAUUCUUUAUCGGUAUUUGUGGCAGUACUAUUGGGUUUGACGGUUUGCAUGACUUGAAUGAGUUGGGAAAGUUCAGUCAUAGAUGGCAUGGGCGAUUUCAAAAGUUAAAGGAGUAUUGGAUGGAUAUCACAGAAGAAGAGAUUGCAUUUUUGGAGGCACCUUAUGUUUUGAAUUGCGGAUGUUUGACUAGUGUUACGGUGAUCGCCUGGUUUUAGGCUUCUGAAGUUCAGGUUUUGUUGCAUGGCAUGGCAGAUCUAUGUGGGUGUUUUUCGUAAGAUGAUGGAGUGUGAGUGAAAUACCAUCCAUUUGAGUAGCGGGAUUGAGAUCGGGUAUGGAUACUGGUAUUCAUGAGGUUUUGGGACUGGAUGUCCACGUAGGUAGACUAUUCCUUGAUUGUGGAUUGUGAAGAAAUGUUGAGAAUAGGAUAACUGAUGGCAUACAUUAUGGAUAGGUUUUUAUGAACUUUGGGAAGGUUAUUUAUCUGUUUGGGAAUAACCGGAGUUGGUUUGGGGGUUAUUUGAAAGCCUAAUGAGAAUGUGUAUUCUAUAUCAGAUAAGGUUUUUUUACUCUUACGCAAUUUCUAUCGUGGGUAUAUUAUCGGGCAGAAUGGAUGUUAUUCAUGCCCCAGUCUAUGCUAUGUGCUUCUCUGUUAUGCUUUGAUGGGUUGUGAGGUUAUAUAAUUAUUUUCACGCAUGUUGUAAUCCCAUUCAGGCCUUAUGGUGAUAUGGGUGGGAUGGCCCUCGUGAUGUUUAUUUGUUUAUUGCACCUUAGUUGUUCUUGCUUUUCUCCAUAUUGUAUUAUUCCCAUUCAUCUUUCCACUGUUAUAUUUGUGCUCUCUAGUGUGCUUGAUACUGGGAUACAUGUGAUUAGUGAUCCCAAGCAUUUUGGCUCGAUGGGUGUCCCUAUAUAGAUUGAUAUAUUUUGGAUCGGAUUGCGCGCCGCAACGGAUGCUAUGUGGGAUACUUUCCUUGUGGUUAUUUGAUGUUUUAUUUUCCCUCUGUGGGAUGAGUUAAUGAAAUUGCACUUUUAUUAUUAUAUUUGUUGUACUUGUUAGAUAGUUUUUGUACCUUGCUUUCUUUCUAUUGUUAGAUACUUUCUUUCUGAGUUAUUUCUUGUUUGGUGUAUGGACCAUGUUGUGUGAGAUUCUAUGUGGUUUUGGUGUGACUUAUCAGUGGGCUACUUGUAUGUGUUCAGAUGAGGUUUCUAGACCUGAGAGUUGCACUAUUGUAUUGGGAUGAGGAGUAUUUGAUUGAAUGAUACCCUAUUUCCGCUAAGAAUUGAGCAAUGAGCCUUGUCGAAUGAGAGAACUUCUUGACUAUUGAUUUUGUAGGUGAUUAUGAGUUUUCGCAUGUUUAUUUUAUCACUACCAGCAUCACGGAGGUCUAGAAUGAGGUUUUAUUUUGCAUGAAGUGUAUUACCGGUACCGAGAUUACUAUUUGGCCGAUCUGGUGGUCGGAAGUUGCUACUAUGGAUAGCUGAGGUAUGUUAAAUAUCAGGUGAUUAUACCUUGAGUUGAGGUUGUUACUUGGUCUAAGUUGUCCACGCUUACAUACGGUAUUGAUGCGAGAUUCGAGGCUUAUGAUGAGUUUCAGAAGUUGAGGAUUAGGCUCAAAGGUUUAUAGACUAAGGAUGAGGUGAGAUCUUUAGUUAAAUUGUGUUGUCAGUCUUACAUGGAUUGGGGUGAUGUUCGAUCAUCCCCGGGUGUAUGUAUGGUGAGCUCGUGCAGUGAUUUGAUAGCUUUGGAACGACUCCUGGCACGUUCGAGGACGAAUGUAUGUUUAAGUGGGGGAGGAUGUAACGACCCGACUGGUCGUUUUGAGUAUUUGCAUUCAGUUCGGCGGUUUGAGGUCACAAAUAGCUUCACAUGGUGUAUUAUGACUUACGUGCAACGUCGACUUUGGUUUUUGAGUGGUUCGGAAUUGAUUUUGUAUGAUGACCCUCACUUGAGAAGUUUGAAGUUGAAAGAGUUAACCAAGUUUGACUUUGUAUAUUUGACCCCGAAUCGGAGUUUGGAUGGUCUUGAUAGGUCCGGAUGGUGAUUUUGGACUUGGGAGUAUGCCCGGAGUUGCAUUUGAAUGUUUCUAGAAGGUAUAGGCACCAUUUGGCGGAAGUUGGCAAUUGAAAUAUUUGGAAUUUUUUGUAGUUUGAACAUGGUUUAACUUUAAGGAUAUCGAGUUCGGAUUUUGGUUUUGGGACUUGGAAUAGGUCUGUUUCGUCAUUUGGAACUUGUCUACAAAAUUUGGUGUCGUUUGGAGUUGGUUUGAUGUGGUUUGGACGCUUGGUUGCAAUUCUAGAAGUUCUUAAAGUUCAUUGUGAUUUCAAUGCGUUUUGGUGUCCGAUUCAUGAUUGAUGGUAUUUAGAUGUUUUAAUUGAGAGCGAGUUCAUAUUAUGUUUAUAGACUUGUGUGGAUAUUUGGUUUGGAGCCCCAAUGGCUCAAAUGCGUUUUGAACGUGUUCGAGGGGGGUUAGGGAGGGACCUCCCUUUUGCGAGGAAAUCAUCACUUUUGCGAAGUUGACUGAGGCCUGCAAAGUUUGCAUUUGCAUUGAAGGCCUGGGCUGGGGAAGAGUCCCUUAUGACUUCUAGUGUAGAUUCGUUAUUGCGGUUGGUUUUGUGAUACGCCGUAGUAGGUUGUAGUUAUUUGUGUAAUGCCUAUUUUAUGGGGAUCGGGUUGCAUGCUGCAACAAUAUUGAAAUGAUAUAAAAAUAUAUGAUAUGGAGCGAUAAGGACGAUGACAUGAUAUAGGUGAGAUCGGGUUGCACGCCGCAACAAAUAUUAUUAUUAUUGUUUGGAAUCAGGUUGCACGCCGCAACAGAUUGAUAUAUUGUAAUUGUUGUGACAGUAAAUUUAUCCUGAAUUGUUAUUCUCAUGGUGUGUUCUAUGUUGGAAUGGUUUAUCAGUUGGACGAUUUUAUUUUUUCCCUUAAAUCAUUUAAUUGGUAUUUGAUCAUUUAAUUUCUUGUGUUACUCUAAUGUGCCAUUAUGUGCCUCCAUUAUUACUUGGUAAAUUGAAUGUCAAGGUGAAUUAUAUGGUCAUUAUCUCAUAUUCUGUUGAGUUGUUGGUAACAUAAUGGUUUAAAAUAAAAGAAUUAUUAACAUGUCUUAUUCUAUGUGUCUCUUAAGAUAGAACUCGUUAUAUCACUCAGUUCCUUAAUAGUUUUAAAUGGAUAUCACAUUUGCACUUUAAUUGGGUUCUCAAAUUUUAUUCAUCACCCUAUUGAUGUUUACUUUACUUAAAACAGUUAUCACAUUUUAUUUCUAACAAAUCCUAAAUUUAGCUUGUUAAUUUAACUGAGGUUUUAUUUUGUUUAAAUAUGAUAUUUUUACUUUAUCUUAUUAAUUUCUAAACUAAACCCAUCUGAUACUCUAUUUGCAUGACCUUUCCUUUAUUCUACUUUAUUUGAAUCCUAAAAUAAACAUAUUAUCUCAUUUGACACCUCUUUUUAUUCAAGAUUGUUAUUAUGCUUUAUUGUGUUUUAAUAUAUCUCUCGAUCAUCUUAACUGAUAUUGAUACAUAUGCGAUGUACAUGGUAGCACGAGGACUUUGCCGUGCGAAGGUGAUUGUUAUUGUGAGCACGAGGUGCCAACGUGAAAGAUUUGAAAAUGUGGAUAACGGUUUGUGAUUUCGAGGAGUGGUACAUCAGGGUAAAACUUGUUGCAAGUCCAUGCAUUGAGAACAAUUUAAUUAAUUAAGUUUUUAUCUUUAACUUAUUGAGUUCGUUCAUAUCCCAUCGUUGUUGUGAUUAUGCUGCUGUUCUAUUACCCGUCUACUUCUUUCUAGCAUUUGAGUUUCCAUUAUCUUCGUCGUUGGUUGUAAAUUAUAAUCCUUCCAUUGUUAGUCCUACAUGUAUGUUCUUUCCAUUGUUAAUUUUGUGUUACAUCUUGUAUAGGUUUCUAUGUUUAGUAGGUGUCUUGACCUGGCCUCGACACUACUCCACCGAGGUUAUGCUUGAAACUUUUGGGUACCAUUGUGGUGUACUCAUGCUACGCUCCUGCACCAUUUUGUGUAGAUUCAUGUACUUUUGAUCGUGUUAUUGAGAGUUGUGUCUGCGCGGAUGAAGACUUCAAGGUACACCUGCUUGACGUUCGAAGGCCUCAGAGUCACCCUCAGUUAUCUUCGCAUUACUGUUUAUCCUUUUAUAAGACAAUGUUGUAUUAGAGGUUUUAGUACGUUUCUGUAGAGCUUACGACUCACUUUCACCGUGUUUUGGGAAUGUUAACUAGGUAUCAUAUUUUUAGUCGUUAUUUCUAUAAUAUUUCCUUGUUGAUUAGGCUUACCUAGACUUAGAGGCUAGGUGCCAUCACGGCAUCUUAUGGUGAGAAAAAUGGGAUCGUGACAUGGACCCCGAGAUAUACUUGUGCCAGUGAGGGGCGCCUCAACCACAAAACCAGGCUCACACCAAAAUACCCUUGAACUUUGACCAUUACUCUUCCUCAAAGGUUUGAGCUCAAACAAAUGUUAAUUCACCAACUCAACCAACAUAUAACAUGAAAGGUAGAAGGUUCAUCAAAUAACCUUUCAAAGGUUCAGCAAUUCAAAAACACCAACUUGAAAUCAAACAACCUUGUUAAGAAUUGAAGCCAUCAUUAGAGUGCCAAACCAUAAGAAACUAAGGACUUAACACAAUAUGGACCUUGAAUAUAAGAAUAGGUCAUUGUAACUGGAUCAUUAAAGGUUUGAUGGUAACAAAAGGCCUUGAUAGGUCACAAAGCAAAGAAGGUUGGUUGUAUGCUGACAGUACAUAGGUUCUAUUUCUUACAACUUCAAGUUUAAGAAUGCCUUAUUGAGUAGUCUAAAGUAUAAGUAAGUGACAAUGAUGGGCAUAUGCACUUGUUUUAUUAUUUUCAAUAAAGGUGCAACACUUUAGAACCUUCUUAAAUACGUUCAGAUCACUAGAGCAAGUAACAGACAUCUUAACAAUUUUUGGAACAGUUGUGAGCAAAUAUGCAUAUAAUAACCUCUCUUCAUUAAACACUUAUGCUAAUGACCUCACUCAGAAUUCAAAGGGGGUAUACGAAUCAGCUGGGAUAACAUGGAUAUUAACAUGACUAGGAAGGCUAGCUUUAGUCUUUAUUUAAACCUAAUGGCCGUGGUAUUUAGUCAUGACAAUGCACACAGUCUAUUAGGUUUCAAAUUACCAGAACCAAACAAUACUCAGAUUCAUUAGUGAGUACUCCCUAAUCAGUGUUGUCAAACAGUUAUGAAAUAAAAAGUAGAGAUGUUCUUUUUUAGUUGGUCAAAGCAGGGUAAGUAGAUCACAUCAAGUGACCAUUUAGACAUGUAAGCAAGUUUAUCAAUAAGUCAUGACAACAAAUCUCCCCACAAGAUUUUAUUUUAUACAAGUUGUCAUGAUAGACACACAUGAAUCAUUUUAUCAUAACUGUGCAAUACAUCACAUUAUCAUAAACAAGAUGUCAGUUAGAGUCAUUUAGGUAAACAAAUAAACAUUAGAAUAUGAGCAUAAUCAUCAAUAAGAACCAGUCAAUAGACUAGACCAAAAUAUCAUGACAUUAAAGGUUGAGACAAACAUAAUGAUGCAUGCAUAAGGGUCUUAGCUAGUUAACAUAAUGAUUUAAGCAUGAAAUUUUCUUAACUAAUGGCAUGUAAAACUUUACGAACAUUACUUGAUUAGAAAAAAUCAUGAUAAAUAUAGGCACAAACAUAAAAAUCAAUAAGUGCCAUUCAAUAAAUACAACAGUGUAGGUUGCACAUAACUACUAUCAUAGAAUUCAGACAGUCACGAGGAAUUAAUAGAUUGUUUAUAAAGACAACAAUAAGGCGUCAUUUCAGUUAUUUAAGCAUGAUCAAACGAUUCAACGAUCAUCAUGAAAUAUUUAUUUGACAACAACACAUGGAUAAACACAAUCUUCAGCAAACAUCAUUAAUAUAAACAAGAGUAACACAAGAGCAUAAUACAAUAAGAAGGUUGCAUGUGUACAGAUGAACACCAUGAAGAGGAGAAUAUCAAAUAAUAACAGAAAAAUAUCAGAACAAAGAGCUACAUAAUUAAUUGAAAGAAUGAAAGAGAGGAGUCAGUGUUCACUGACCUUCUUCAGAGAAGCAAACCCAAUAAGGAUGAUUUGUAGCCAUUUAAGAAUCCAACCUCACAACCAACUUACAAUAAUCAAACUCGAACAAGAAGAAAAGUGAAAGAGAUUAGAGAAGAACUUCGGAAUACUUAGAUCAACAGAAAAUUCUUAAGUCUUAGUGUGUGUUAUGUGUUCUUUCAAUGCCUUUUUCGUGAUUUUUCAGUGUUUGGUGAGAGCAUUAAAAGCUCUAGUUAUAGUAGUAUUGAAGCCUUAGGGCUUCAUUUGAAUUCAAAGGGAUAGUGGGGGAUGACGAGUGAUGAGUGACUGAUGAUGAUAUCAAAAGGGGGGAAAACAGAAGGAGAACAAAUCGGAAAUCAGGAUGGAGCU
Molecule: long non-coding RNA, 14447 nt
Filed under: Nicotiana tabacum (common tobacco)
Lineage: Eukaryota; Viridiplantae; Streptophyta; Magnoliopsida; Solanales; Solanaceae
Description: long non-coding RNA (NTAB_LNC003117)
Source: RNAcentral